AACGAACGCUGGCGGCAGGCUUAACACAUGCAAGUCGAACGGGCGUAGCAAUACGUCAGUGGCGGACGGGUGAGUAACACGUGGGAAUAUGCCUUUCGGUUCGGAACAACUCGGGGAAACCCGUGCUAAUUCCGGAUACGCCCUUACGGGAAAGAUUAUCGCCGAAAGAUUAGCCCGCGUUGGAUUAGCUAGUUGGUGAGGUAAAGGCUCACCAAGGCGACGAUCCAUAGCUGGUUUGAGAGAACGACCAGCCACACUGGGACUGAGACACGGCCCAGACUCCUACGGGAGGCAGCAGUGGGGAAUCUUGGACAAUGGGCGCAAGCCUGAUCCAGCCAUGCCGCGUGAGUGAUGAAGGCCUUC
Molecule: ribosomal RNA, 363 nt
Filed under: uncultured bacterium
Lineage: Bacteria
Description: bacterial SSU rRNA
Rfam family: Bacterial small subunit ribosomal RNA
Source: RNAcentral